CCUAACAUUGCAUAAUGAUGUUGCCACCAAAAACGUUGCCUUAGAUGCUUAAAAUUUGAUUGAAGUGGGUGUAUACCAACAUCAUAUAGCGGUGUUGCCAUUGAUACGAAAACUGUUGCCUUAACCACAAAAAAAUCUCGAUGCCAACAUCUUGUGCGAUGUUGCCUUAGAGAAGAACUAAAAUAAAGGAGGAAAACACCCCGCUUUCUUUUGAUAGUCAAAUUUUUAAACAAAAUUCAGCAACCGCCUCAGACAAAACGUGUUAUCUCUCGGGCAAUUAAAACAAAAAUUAAAAACAUCUCUCAUAUAAACACACCUCCCUCCCCCUCGAACUCAUUCUCUCUCAGACAAAAACACCUCCCUCCCCCGAACUCUCUCUCUCUCCCCCGCAUCUCUUACUCUCUCUCCCGCAUCUCUCACUCAAUCUCUCCCGUAUACCUCUCUUCCGAAUCAUCACCAUCUCGCUCUUUCAUCUCUUUCUCUCAUCUCGUUCUCAUAUAUAUCUCUCAUCUCACUCUCUCAUCUCUCGAAUCUGGAAUCUGCGAAAAUUUGGGAAAGGGCUGGUCCGACGACUUUAUAGAAGGAGCUCAGUUGCUUUUCUCUCGUAGCUUUAAUUUGGUCGAACUCUAACUAUAAGGGGAAGCUUUAUCAGCCUAUUAAGCUUGAUGAUAGUAUAUGGAGCCUGGAGGACCGGAAGUGUAUCUCUGUACUUCUUUCCAAGCAGGACAAAAUGCAAUGGUAGAAGUACUUGGUGAAAGGUGAUCCUGAAGUGGAUACCCAAAAGGUAGAGCCUGAGAGCAACAAACUAUCUGAUCGAGAUGGAGAAAUACGGUAAACUGUGGGGAAAAUGAUGGUGAUUUGAUCUUCGAAACUUGGAAUGGAUGAGGGAAUGAAAAUGUAAGCUUGCCGCAGCAGCAACAGUUCUGCUCACCUCGUCCAGCUUCCAGCACAAGGCCUUCUACUGAAGCAAACUUGACUGAUAGUGCCAAAUUGUCAAGAUCAUUCUCGAUUCCACUAACCAAUAAACUUUGAUCUAUGGAAUUUUAGUGUUGUGGUAAAAUUUUAGUAUCGAUGGAACUUUAGUAUUUUGUGGUAGAAUUCUAGUAUUUGCAGAAUUUUAGUAAUUUGUGAUAAAAUUAUGUGUAAUAGGUACUGUGGAGUUUGGAUUUAACUAUGUUAUGGUAUGUAGGUUUAGUUAGUA
Long non-coding RNA from Daucus carota subsp. sativus, 1201 nucleotides. RefSeq lists it as uncharacterized. The record is from RefSeq and is a predicted model, not a curated record. Lineage: Eukaryota; Viridiplantae; Streptophyta; Magnoliopsida; Apiales; Apiaceae. The transcript is spliced from 4 exons.